RNAcentral lists this ribosomal RNA (796 nucleotides) under uncultured bacterium. RNAcentral describes it as "bacterial SSU rRNA". It matches the Rfam family "Bacterial small subunit ribosomal RNA", at positions 8 to 796 of the family's 1533-position model. The record is from RNAcentral.
AGAGUUUGAUCCUGGCUCAGGAUGAACGCUAGCGACAGGCUUAACACAUGCAAGUCGAGGGGCAGCAUAAAAGUAGCAAUACUUUGGUGGCGACCGGCGCACGGGUGAGUAACGCGUAUGCAACCUACCUAUCAGAGGGGAAUAACCCGGCGAAAGUCGGACUAAUACCGCAUAAAACAGGGGCACCGCAUGGUGAUAUUUGUUAAAGAAAUUCGCUGAUAGAUGGGCAUGCGUUCCAUUAGGUAGUUGGUGAGGUAACGGCUCACCAAGCCGACGAUGGAUAGGGGAACUGAGAGGUUGGUCCCCCACACUGGUACUGAGACACGGACCAGACUCCUACGGGAGGCAGCAGUGAGGAAUAUUGGUCAAUGGGCGAGAGCCUGAACCAGCCAAGUCGCGUGAAGGAAGAAGGAUCUAUGGUUCGUAAACUUCUUUUGCAGGGGAAUAAAGUGCGGGACGUGUCCUGUUUUGUAUGUACCCUGAGAAUAAGGAUCGGCUAACUCCGUGCCAGCAGCCGCGGUAAUACGGAGGAUCCGAGCGUUAUCCGGAUUUAUUGGGUUUAAAGGGUGCGUAGGUGGUUUGAUAAGUCAGCGGUGAAAGUUUGCAGCUUAACUGUAAAAAUGCCGUUGAAACUGUCGGACUUGAGUGUAAAUGAGGUAGGCGGAAUGCGUGGUGUAGCGGUGAAAUGCAUAGAUAUCACGCAGAACUCCGAUUGCGAAGGCAGCUUACUAAGCUACAACUGACACUGAAGCACGAAAGCGUGGGGAUCAAACAGGAUUAGAUACCCUGGUAGUCG